CUGCAAGGUGCUGCAUGGUUGUCGGUCAGCUCGUGCCGUGAGGUGUCGGGUUAAGUCCCAUAACGAGCGCAACCCUUAUCGUUAGUUGCCAGCUGGUAAAGCAGGGGACUCUAGCGAAACUGCCACCGUAAGGUGAGAGGAAGGUGGGGAUGACGUCAAAUCAGCACGGCCCUUAUGUCCAGGGCUACACACGUGUUACAAUGGCCGGCACAGAGGGCAGCUACCUGGUGACAGGAUGCUAAUCUCGAAAACCGGUCUCAGUUCGGAUCGAAGUCUGCAACUCGACUUCGUGAAGCUGGAUUCGCUAGUAAUCGCGCAUCAGCCAUGGCGCGGUGAAUACGUUCCCGGGCCUU
Molecule: ribosomal RNA, 353 nt
Filed under: uncultured Sphingobacteriales bacterium
Lineage: Bacteria; Pseudomonadati; Bacteroidota; Sphingobacteriia; Sphingobacteriales
Description: bacterial SSU rRNA
Rfam family: Bacterial small subunit ribosomal RNA
Source: RNAcentral